UCAAGUAAGUAAGGGCGUACGGCGGAUGCCUUGGCCAUAUCAGCCGAAGAAGGACGCGAUAAGCUGCGAUAAGCUGCGGUGAGGUGCAAGUAACCUUUGACCCGCAGGUCUCCGAAUGGGGAAACCCGGCAGCAGUAGUGCUGUCAUCCUCUAUGAGGAAGGGCACCCGGUGAACUGAAACAUCUAAGUAGCCGGAGGAAAAGGAAUCAACAGAGAUACCCCUAGUAGCGGCGAGCGAACGGGGCAGAGCCCAAACCGGAAUGGGAAACCAAUCCGGGGUUGUGGACUGCUAUCAAAUGCAUGAGUGAAGCAGAAUGAGCUGGGAAGCUCAGCCAGAGAGAGUGAGAGCCUCGUAGGCGUAAGCAAGUGCAUGGAGCAGGAUCCAGAGUACCACGGGACACGAGAAACCCUGUGGGAAGCUGGGGGGACCACCCUCCAAGGCGAAACACUGAUAUGGACCGAUAGCGCAUAGUACCGUGAGGGAAAGGUGAAAAGAACCCCGGGAGGGGAGUGAAAGAGAACCUGAAACCGUAUGUCUACAAGCAGUCGAAGACCUUUAUAUGGUCGACGGCGUGCCUAUUGAAGAAUGAACCGGCGAGUUACUUCAGCUAGCGAGGUUAAGCGGAAAACGUGGAGCCGAAGCGAAAGCGAGUCUGAACAGGGCGUAUAGUUAGUUGGAGUAGACCCGAAACCACAGUGAUCUACCCAUGUCCAGGUUGAAGCACAGGUAAAAAUGUGUGGAGGACCGAACCAGUGAGCGUUGAAAAGCUUUUGGAUGAGAUGUGGGUAGGGGUGAAAUGCCAAUCGAACGUGGAGAUAGCUGGUUCUCCCCGAAAUAGCUUUAGGGCUAGCCUCAUGGCGAGAGUACAGGCGGUAGAGCACUGAACGGGGUAGGGGCCUAUCCGGCUACUGAACCUAAUCAAACUGCGAAUGGCUGUACUUAUCCAUGGGAGUCAGACUGUGAGUAAUAAGGCCCAUAGUCAAGAGGGAAACAGCCCAGACCAACAGCUAAGGUCCCCAAUGCCGUACUAAGUGGCGAAGGAUGUGGAAUUUCGAAAACAACCAGGAUGUUGGCUCAGAAGCAGCCACCAUUAAAAGAGUGCGUAAUAGCUCACUGGUCGAGAGACUCUGCGCCGAAGAUGUCCGGGGCUAAAGUACGGAACCGAAGCUUUGGCAAUUGACAUUAGUCAAUUGGGUAGGGGAGCGUUCCUGCAUGGGAGAAGCCUGACCGGAAGGACAGGUGGACAGGCAGGAAGAGAGAAUGCCGGUAUGAGUAGCGAAAAGAAGGGUGAGAAUCCCUUCCACCGAAAGCCUAAGGGUUCCUGGGCAACGAUCGUCGUCCCAGGGUAAGUCGGGACCUAAUCCGAGGCGGAGACGCGUAGGAGAUGGACAACAGGUUGAAAUUCCUGUACUGGCUGAGGCCGUUUGAGCGAAGGAGUGACACAGGAAGGAAGGCGCGCGUGCGAUUGGAAGAGCACGUCCAAGCAGGUAGGUCGGGAGACAGGCAAAUCCGUUUCCCAUGAGGCCGAGAUGCGAUGGGGAGCUUCUGGAGACAGAAGCGAAGGGGCUGGCACUAAACUGUCGAGAAAAGCUUCUAGUGAGGACUCAGGCACCCGUACCGAAACCGACACAGGUAGGCAGGAUGAGAAUUCUAAGGUGCGCGGGAAAACCCUCGUUAAGGAACUCGGCAAAAUAUAUCCGUAACUUCGGGAAAAGGAUAACCCAGCGUACGUGAAGUGCAGAAGCGCACGGAGCGGAGAUGGGUGGCAGAAGAGAGGCCCAAGCGACUGUUUACCACAAACACAGGCGUCUGCUAAAGCGAAAGCUGAUGUAUAGAUGCUGACACCUGCCCGGUGCUGGAAGGUUAAGAGGAAGUGUUAGCGCAAGCGAAGCAGUGAAUUGAAGCCCCAGUAAACGGCGGCCGUAACUAUAACGGUCCUAAGGUAGCGAAAUUCCUUGUCGGGUAAGUUCC
This 1972-nucleotide ribosomal RNA is filed under the name human gut metagenome. RNAcentral's name for it is "bacterial LSU rRNA". It matches the Rfam family "Bacterial large subunit ribosomal RNA", at positions 3 to 1984 of the family's 2925-position model. The record is from RNAcentral.